This 1017-nucleotide ribosomal RNA is filed under the name uncultured bacterium. Its description in RNAcentral is "bacterial SSU rRNA". It matches the Rfam family "Bacterial small subunit ribosomal RNA", at positions 355 to 1375 of the family's 1533-position model. The record is from RNAcentral.
UGAGGAAUAUUGGUCAAUGGACGAGAGUCUGAACCAGCCAAGUAGCGUGAAGGAUGACUGCCCUAUGGGUUGUAAACUUCUUUUAUACGGGAAUAAAGUGGAGUAUGCAUACUCCUUUGUAUGUACCGUAUGAAUAAGGAUCGGCUAACUCCGUGCCAGCAGCCGCGGUAAUACGGAGGAUCCGAGCGUUAUCCGGAUUUAUUGGGUUUAAAGGGAGCGUAGGCGGGUGCUUAAGUCAGUUGUGAAAGUUUGCGGCUCAACCGUAAAAUUGCAGUUGAUACUGGGCGCCUUGAGUACGCACGAGGUAGGCGGAAUUCGUGGUGUAGCGGUGAAAUGCUUAGAUAUCACGAAGAACUCCGAUUGCGAAGGCAGCUUACCGGAGCGCAACUGACGCUGAGGCUCGAAAGCGCGGGUAUCGAACAGGAUUAGAUACCCUGGUAGUCCGCGCGGUAAACGAUGGAUGCCCGCCGUUGGGAUUUAGAUUUCAGCGGCCAAGCGAAAGCGUUAAGCAUCCCACCUGGGGAGUACGCCGGCAACGGUGAAACUCAAAGGAAUUGACGGGGGCCCGCACAAGCGGAGGAACAUGUGGUUUAAUUCGAUGAUACGCGAGGAACCUUACCCGGGCUUAAAUUGCAGACGAAUUACUUGGAAACAGGUAAGCCGCAAGGCGUCUGUGAAGGUGCUGCAUGGUUGUCGUCAGCUCGUGCCGUGAGGUGUCGGCUUAAGUGCCAUAACGAGCGCAACCCUUGUUGUCAGUUACUAACAGGUUCCGCUGAGGACUCUGACAAGACUGCCAUCGUAAGAUGUGAGGAAGGUGGGGAUGACGUCAAAUCAGCACGGCCCUUACGUCCGGGGCUACACACGUGUUACAAUGGGGGGUACAGAGGGCCGCUACCACGCGAGUGGAUGCCAAUCCCCAAAACCUCUCUCAGUUCGGACUGGAGUCUGCAACCCGACUCCACGAAGCUGGAUUCGCUAGUAAUCGCGCAUCAGCCACGGCGCGGUGAAUACGUUCCC